RNAcentral lists this ribosomal RNA (872 nucleotides) under uncultured archaeon. RNAcentral describes it as "bacterial SSU rRNA". It matches the Rfam family "Archaeal small subunit ribosomal RNA", at positions 84 to 955 of the family's 1478-position model. The record is from RNAcentral.
UACGGCUCAGUAACACGUAGUCAAUCUGCCCUAUGGACGUGGAUAACCUCGGGAAACUGAGAAUAAUCCGCGAUAGAUCAUGAUGCCUGGAACGGUUUAUGGUCCAAAUGAUUCGUCGCCAUAGGAUGGGACUGCGGCCUAUCAGCUUGUUGGUGAGGUAAUGGCCCACCAAGGCUAUUACAGGUACGGGCUCUGAGAGGAGAAGCCCGGAGAUGGGUACUGAGACACGGACCCAGGCCCUAUGGGGCGCAGCAGGCGAGAAACCUUUGCAAUGUGCGCAAGCACGACAAGGUUAAUCCGAGUGUUUCCUGCUAAAGGAAUCUUUUGUUAGUUCUAAAACCACUGAUGAAUAAGGGGUGGGCAAGUUCUGGUGUCAGCCGCCGCGGUAAAACCAGCACCUCAAGUGGUCAGGAGGAUUAUUGGGCCUAAAGCAUCCGUAGCCGGUUCUGUAAGUUUCCGGUUAAAUCCACUAGCUCAACUAAUGGGCUGCCGGAAAUACUGCANAACUAGGGAGUGGGAGAGGUAGACGGUACUCGGGAGGAAGGGGUAAAAUCCUUUGAUCUCUUGAUGACCACCUGUGGCGAAGGCGGUCUACCAGAACACGUUCGACGGUGAGGGAUGAAAGCUGGGGGAGCAAACCGGAUUAGAUACCCGGGUAGUCCCAGCUGUAAACGAUGCAGACUCGGUGAUGCACUGGCUUUUGGCCAGUGCAGUGCCGCAGGGAAGCCGUUAAGUUUGCCGCCUGGGAAGUACGUACGCAAGUAUGAAACUUAAAGGAAUUGGCGGGGGAGCACCACAAGGGGUGAAGCCUGCGGUUCAAUUGGAGUCAACGCCGGAAAGGGCGAAUUCGUUUAACCUGCAGGACUAGUCCU